AUUGAACGCUGGCGGCAUGCCUAACACAUGCAAGUCGAACGGAAACGAUGGGAGCUUGCUCCCAGGCGUCGAGUGGCGGACGGGUGAGGAAUGCAUAGGAAUCUGCCCAGUAGCGGGGGACAACUCGGGGAAACUCGAGCUAAUACCGCAUACGCCCUACGGGGGAAAGCAGGGGAUCUUCGGACCUUGCACUAUUGGAUGAGCCUAUGCCUGAUUAGCUUGUUGGUGGGGUAACGGCCUACCAAGGCGACGAUCAGUANCUGGUCUGAGAGGACGAUCAGCCACACUGGGACUGAGACACGGCCCAGACUCCUACGGGAGGCAGCAGUGGGGAAUAUUGCCCAAUGGGCGCAAGCCUGAUGCAGCAAUGCCGCGUGUGUGAAUAAUGCCUGCGGGUUGUAAAGCACUUUCAGU
Molecule: ribosomal RNA, 414 nt
Filed under: uncultured bacterium
Lineage: Bacteria
Description: bacterial SSU rRNA
Rfam family: Bacterial small subunit ribosomal RNA
Source: RNAcentral